Molecule: unclassified non-coding RNA, 353 nt
Filed under: soil metagenome
Description: partial contains 5.8S ribosomal RNA, internal transcribed spacer 2, and large subunit ribosomal RNA
Rfam family: 5.8S ribosomal RNA (bases 1-120)
Source: RNAcentral
GAUGAAGAACGCAGCGAAAUGCGAUAAGUAAUGUGAAUUGCAGAAUUCAGUGAAUCAUCGAAUCUUUGAACGCACAUUGUGCCCGCCAGUAUUCUGGCGGGCAUGCCUGUUCGAGCGUCAUUACAACCCUCAGGCCCCCGGGCCUGGCGUUGGGGAUCGGCGAGGCGCCCCCCGCGGGCACGCGCCGUCCCCCAAAUACAGUGGCGGUCCCGCCGCAGCUUCCAUUGCGUAGUAGCUAACACCUCGCAACUGGAGAGCGGCGCGGCCAUGCCGUAAAACACCCAACUUCUGAAUGUUGACCUCGAAUCAGGUAGGAAUACCCGCUGAACUUAAGCAUAUCAAUAAGCGGAGGA